CAUCUCAGUUCAGAUUGCAGGCUGCAACUCGCCCUGCAUGAAGUCGGAAUUGCUAGUAAUCGUAGGUCAGCAUACUACGGUGAAUACGUUCCCGGGCCUUGUACACACCGCCCGUCAAACCAUGAGAGUUGGCAACACCCGAAGUCGGUAGUCUAACCGCAAGGAGGACGCCGCCGAAGGUGGGGGUUGAUGAUUAGGGUUAAGUCGUAACAAGGUAGC
RNAcentral lists this ribosomal RNA (219 nucleotides) under uncultured bacterium. Its description in RNAcentral is "partial 16S ribosomal RNA". It matches the Rfam family "Bacterial small subunit ribosomal RNA", at positions 1284 to 1500 of the family's 1533-position model. The record is from RNAcentral.